CCUGUGUUACGGAGCAGUUGGCACCCAGUUCAUAAAGGGUGGGAAGCAGAGAGGUCAGCCCUGCUUUCCAGUUGCUCCUGCUGCAAUGUAUGUUGUGUGCUGGGCUGUGGAAGUUGUAUGAUGGCCCAGACUUUUCUUCUUGCUGCAUUAGAGAUUGAAAGCAGUGCAUAUGUUACAGGAGAGUAUCUACAAUCUAGAUCUGAGCUGCUGCCCUACCCGAAGGUGGUCUGUGCAUGCAGGUAAAUGAGACCCAUCUCCAGACCUAUGGACCUGGAUCUGGAACUGUGAAAACAUUUUAGACUUUAGAGUGAGGAACUGCAAGCCUAAAAUGGGAGGGGGAGCGAGCAGUGGAACCCACGUGUGCUGCAGCGAGGCUGGUUGGAUGUUGCUGCUGUUGUUGAAGCAAUGUGGGAGAGAACUGCUUUUCAGAAGAUUUCUUACACUCUAAGAGGAUGGAGGCAGGUGCAGCACAGUUACUCUCCCAGGAUCAGGCCCUGAGGGGAUGCCAAGAAGAGAAAUGCUUGAAAGCAACAUAUGGAAAUUGAACACGAAGUAAAAGCUCGAGUGGAGAUAGGUGGGUUCAGGAGCUGUCUUCAGGAGAGGGAGCCAAGGCUACGCAGUGGGAAGUGUGUAGAAAAUGAAAGUAUGUAGAAACUGAAAGGUAUUCAGCAGCAGUCAUGUCAGCAUAAUGCGUGCAGUCAUUUCCUCCUGACGAGUGUAUGCAGCACAUCACAGAGCUGGGGCUGUUGUCAGGAGCAGGCAAAGGCAAGGAAAGGCACACAUGUGUGCAUGUCAUGGACAGCAGCGACGCGAGGGAUGAGGCACGCGUGGGGAGAAGCCACUGAGCAGAAGGCUACAAAAGAUGAAAGGGCUUUCAAGAAGGGCUGGUAUUUUUGUGAUAAAACUGACCAGUUGUUCAUAAUUAAAAAUAUGUUUCCCCAAGGUCACUUGAACUUUUUUGCCAGGAUCACAAAGCUGUUCCAAUCUCCAGUGGUGUUCAAGCUUGAAUUAAAUGUCUGCUGACAUCUGCCAGGCCCAGAGCAUUUGCUGUGACACAGGAGGGGUGUGAUUUACUUAAGCAUCAUGGACUCGUUCAAGCCUUUUUGCUUUCCUGCAGGUGGGAGUUAAUUGUCAUCCCUGUUGGGUUACAUCUCCUGGCACCCUUUGUGCCUGUUGUGUUACUCUCUCUGGAGUGGAUGGCUGUGGAGUGCAGUGUCACUCACCUCUGUGCUUAUUCUUCAUGGCAAGGGUUAAAACCUGGAGAGGCUGUCACGGGUCUCCCUGGUUAAAGGGGCAGCUGGAGUCACCACCACACCUGGGCUGUGGUUUCUUGACAUUUCCCUGGACAUUGAUUCCCCAUUGCUUAUUGGGAGAGGGGGGAGACUGAGAGAGACCACUUCAUUGUUUGUACCCAGUAUGUUUUUUGUGAGCACAUUGUCAGGAUAGGCAAUUGUCUCUUUAUCCAAGUCCAAGGCAUAUCUGAGUCCAAGACAGCUGAUGACAUUAUAUUGGGCAUUCAUUUUAGAACUGCUGAGCCCACAGAAAUCAAUAGUUUUCCAUUAUCGGGUCCGGCUGGGUCACUAGUCUGUCAAUGAGCUGUUACAAUUGCUGUACAAGGGUGAACCUGACCAGUCAAUUGCUGCUGACAAAAGGAAAACACGCUGACAGCCACUGGAACAAGCCAGAACACAGAUUUGCACUUUGGUUUACCGUCUGAGAAGGCUGGGAGCGGGGCCUUUUCCAAGAUGUAGGGCACGCACUGUGGGAAAAGAGGCCCCUUUCCCCUCCCUGCCACAUGUCAGACAGGCCUUCCCUGCCCAGGGAAUCCAGGUUUGCUUCUGCAGUCCCAAACACCGCAGAACUCACUAAGUGGAGGUGAAGGUGCCAGCUUCCACAGCACUGUGUUUUUCCAGCCAGAAAGGGACGUGCUGAAGGGAGUGCUUCUGGCAGCCAGGCCAGAGGAGCAGCCUGCAGUGACCUCUGCUCAGGGGUGGCUCAGGGCUUCUUCUCCGUGGCACCUGCCUGUGCUACAGUGGGCAGGAAUGCAGAUGACAGGGUUAACUCCUUUUCCUCUCUAUGUUUUAGCACUGACUUCCUAUCAAAUUUGAGAGCAGAGCAAAAAUAAAUAUUUGGAAAUUAUCCCAAUAUUAUGAUUUUUAAUUUUCAACUUUAUUAACUUCUUUCAAGUGUUAAAUCCUGACCGUUUUAUUUAUGCCUGCGGUCGUCUGUUUGAUUCUCACAGAAGUCAAUAUUCACUUGUGCUCCAUCAUCAAACAAAAAACUGGUAAUCAACUUUAUCACUGGAAGCCAACUAGCUGGGUUUUAAAAAAUACACUACCCAAAAGAAAGAUCAUUUGCUUUAAAUGAGAGGAGAGGGAAGUCUUUUUAACAGAGAAGAGCAAACCUUCCUUUACUGGUAAUUAGAAGCACCAGUUUUAUAUGACUUGCAGCAUUUGGUAGCUCAAGCCGCGUCAGAUCUCUUACAGCAUUAAUUAAAAAGAAUUUAUGUUUUUUUAAUAAAAUGCUUCAUGUUUUAGCCCCUUUUCGUCCUCCUUCCAAAUGUGAUUACGGGGGCUGAAGGGAA
This is a long non-coding RNA of Passer domesticus (house sparrow), 2584 nucleotides long. RefSeq lists it as uncharacterized. The transcript is spliced from 6 exons. NCBI's taxonomy places the organism in Eukaryota, Metazoa, Chordata, Aves, Passeriformes, Passeridae. The record is from RefSeq and is a predicted model, not a curated record.